CAUGCAAGUCGAGCGAGAAACCAGUCCUUCGGGACUGGGGACAGCGGCGAACGGGUGAGUAACACGUGGGUAAUCUGCCCUCGAUUCUGGGAUAGCCCGGGGAAACCCGGAUUAAUACCGGAUAGCCUCUCGAGCUUACGAGCUCGUGAGAAAAGGUAGCUUCGGCCUCCGAUCGAGGAUGAGCCCGCGGCGGAUUAGCUUGUUGGUGGGGUAAUGGCCUACCAAGGCAACGAUCCGUAGCUGGUCUGAGAGGACGAUCAGCCACACUGGGACUGAGACACGGCCCAGACUCCUACGGGAGGCAGCAGUGGGGAAUCUUGCGCAAUGGGCGAAAGCCUGACGCAGCGACGCCGCGUGGGGGAAGAAGGCCUUCGGGUUGUAAACCUCUUUCAGCAGGGACGAAGCCACUCGGGUUAAUAGCCCAGAGGGUGACGGUACCUGCAGAAGAAGCCCCGGCUAACUACGUGCCAGCAGCCGCGGUAAUACGUAGGGGGCAAGCGUUGUCCGGAUUUAUUGGGCGUAAAGAGCGUGUAGGCGGCCAGACAGGUCCGUUGUGAAAACUAGAGGCUUAACCUCUAGACGUCGAUGGAAACCGUUUGGCUAGAGUCCGGAAGAGGAGAAUGGAAUUCCUGGUGUAGCGGUGAAAUGCGCAGAUAUCANGAAGAACACCCGUGGCUAACGCGGUUCUCUAGUACGGUACUGACGCUGA
RNAcentral lists this ribosomal RNA (709 nucleotides) under uncultured bacterium. RNAcentral describes it as "bacterial SSU rRNA". It matches the Rfam family "Bacterial small subunit ribosomal RNA", at positions 54 to 749 of the family's 1533-position model. The record is from RNAcentral.